CACUUUCCCUCAAAAACCCUCCACUCCCACCCUAAACCCCACACCACUUUCUCUCUCAGAUCUCCAUUAUCUCCGUACCCGAUUGUCUUGGGCUCACUAACCAUGUCUGGUAGUGCUCGAGCCUCCACUCACCCGCCGACUGCGGCUGCGGCGGCGGCGGCGCCUCCGGGUGGUCCGAUCCUGCCCCCAUUGAGACGGCACCUCGCCUUUGCCACAAUGAAGCCUCCGUUUGUCCCUCCCGAUGAUUAUCAUCGUUUCACGUCCCCUACUACUAAUAGAGCCGCCG
RNAcentral lists this unclassified non-coding RNA (286 nucleotides) under Hevea brasiliensis (rubber tree). Lineage: Eukaryota; Viridiplantae; Streptophyta; Magnoliopsida; Malpighiales; Euphorbiaceae. The record is from RNAcentral.